AUACGUAGGGGGCGAGCGUUGAUCGGAAUGAUUGGGCGUAAAGGGCGCGCAGGCGGCCCGGUAAGUCUGGAGUGAAAGUCCUGUUUUUAAGAUGGGAAUUGCUUUGGAUACUGUCGGGCUUGAGUGCAGGAGAGGUAAGUGGAAUUCCCAGUGUAGCGGUGAAAUGCGUAGAGAUUGGGAAGAACACCGGUGGCGAAGGCGCCUUUCUGGACUGUGUCUGACGCUCAGAUGCGAAAGCCAGGGUAGCGAACGGGAUUAGAGACCCCGGUAGUCCUGGCCGUAAACGAUGGGUACUAGGUGUGUGAGGUAUCGACGCCUUCCGUGCCGGAGUUAACGCGAUAAGUACUCCGCCCGGGGAGUACGGCCGCAAGGCUGAAACUCAAAUGAAUUGACGGGG
RNAcentral lists this ribosomal RNA (397 nucleotides) under uncultured bacterium. RNAcentral's name for it is "partial 16S ribosomal RNA". It matches the Rfam family "Bacterial small subunit ribosomal RNA", at positions 523 to 918 of the family's 1533-position model. The record is from RNAcentral.